RNAcentral lists this ribosomal RNA (274 nucleotides) under uncultured bacterium. Its description in RNAcentral is "partial 16S ribosomal RNA". It matches the Rfam family "Bacterial small subunit ribosomal RNA", at positions 523 to 796 of the family's 1533-position model. The record is from RNAcentral.
AUACGGAGGGUGCAAGCGUUACUCGGAAUCACUGGGCGUAAAGCGCGCGCAGGCGGCCUGAUAAGUUGGAUGUGAAAGCCUACGGCUCAACCGUAGAACUGCAUCCAAAACUGUCAGGCUAGAGUGUGGGAGAGGAAGAUGGAAUUAGUUGUGUAGGGGUGAAAUCCGUAGAGAUAACUAGGAAUACCAAAAGCGAAGGCGAUCUUCUGGAACAGUACUGACGCUGAGGCGCGAAAGCGUGGGGAGCAAACAGAAUUAGAAACCCGAGUAGUCC